AAUAUGUGGCAUACGGCUCAGUAACACGUAGUCAACAUGCCCAGGGGACGUGGAUAACCUCGGGAAACUGAGGAUAAACCGCGAUAAGUCACUACUUCUGGAAUGGGUAAUGACUUAAAUCUAUAUGGCCCCUGGAUUGGACUGCGGCCGAUCAGGCUGUUGGUGAGGUAAUGGCCCACCAAACCUGUAACCGGUACGGGCUCUGAGAGGAGGAGCCCGGAGAUGGGCACUGAGACAAGGGCCCAGGCCCUAUGGGGCGCAGCAGGCGCGAAACCUCUGCAAUAGGCGAAAGCCUGACAGGGUUACUCUGAGUGAUUUCCGUUAAGGAGAUCUUUUGGCACCUCUAAAAAUGGUGCAGAAUAAGGGGUGGGCAAGUCUGGUGUCAGCCGCCGCGGUAAUACCAGCACCCCGAGUGGUCGGGACGUUUAUUGGGCCUAAAGCAUCCGUAGCCGGUUCUACAAGUCUUCCGUUAAAUCCACCUGCUUAACAGAUGGGCUGCGGAAGAUACUAUAGAGCUAGGAGGCGGGAGAGGCAAGCGGUACUCGAUGGGUAGGGGUAAAAUCCGUUGAUCCAUUGAAGACCACCAGUGGCGAAGGCGGCUUGCCAGAACGCGCUCGACGGUGAGGGAUGAAAGCUGGGGGAGCAAACCGGAUUAGAUACCCGGGUAGUCCCAGCUGUAAACGAUGC
Molecule: ribosomal RNA, 687 nt
Filed under: uncultured Nitrososphaerota archaeon
Lineage: Archaea; Thermoproteati; Nitrososphaerota
Description: bacterial SSU rRNA
Rfam family: Archaeal small subunit ribosomal RNA
Source: RNAcentral